AGUGACUCUGAUCUGGUAAAGCCCCCAUCCUGCCCUGACCCUGCCAUGGGCACCAGGCUCCUCUGCUGGGCAGCCAUAUGUCUCCUGGGGGCAGAUCACACAGGUGCUGGAGUGUCCCAGUCCCUGAGACACAAGGUAGCAAAGAAGGGAAAGGAUGUAGCUCUCAGAUAUGAUGCAAUUUCAGGUCAUAAUGCCCUUUAUUGGUACCGACAGAGCCUGGGGCAAGGCCUGGAGUUUCCAGUUUACUUCCAAGGCAAGGAUGCAGCAGACAAAUCGGGGCUUCCCCGUGACCAGUUCUCUGCAGAGAGGCCUGAGGGAUCCAUCUCCACUCUGAAGAUCCAGCGCACACAGCAGGGGGACUUGGCCGUGUAUCUCUGUGCCAGCAGCUCAGCCACAGCACUACUGCUCCAGUGUCAGCUUGGUUCCGUAGGAAAUGGGGUUUCUAGAACCUGA
Nomascus leucogenys (northern white-cheeked gibbon) is the source of this 453-nucleotide non-coding RNA. NCBI's taxonomy places the organism in Eukaryota, Metazoa, Chordata, Mammalia, Primates, Hylobatidae. The record is from the annotation of a RefSeq genome assembly.